This 68-nucleotide transfer RNA is filed under the name Lepas anserifera. Its description in RNAcentral is "tRNA-Leu". It matches the Rfam family "tRNA". Rfam says of the family: Transfer RNA (tRNA) molecules are approximately 80 nucleotides in length. Their secondary structure includes four short double-helical elements and three loops (D, anti-codon, and T loops). Lineage: Eukaryota; Metazoa; Arthropoda; Thecostraca; Lepadidae. The record is from RNAcentral.
UUUGAGAUGGCAGAAAAGUGCAAUGGAUUUAAGAUCCAUAAAUGAAGGUUUAAGUCCUUUUCUUAAAA